GAUUUGAUCAUAUUUUUUCAGAAACCAAAGUACUGAAUAAAAAGAAAAAAUAGAGUUUUAACAAAGAUUUUUCUUAAAUGUCCCCAGAAGUACCCCUGGUCUCUGAAUGCACAAUAAAGUCAUGUCUGGCUGUCAAUUCAGAUUACACUGUGACUGCAGCAGCAGUGACAUCAGCCCCGGAGGCUCCAGUCUUAAUCAUGCAGAAACAAAAAGCUACACUUGGGGCUUUGCUCUCCCCACUGGACCAAAUGACCCAGAUGUUGGCACAGUGUCCAAUCAGUUUAAAGGAAAAUGUAUCCACAAGAACAUGAGUAAUGCUUGUGAUAUCAUUUUUAUACGAUUAUUAUGUCUGUUGCAAACUUUCUAUUAUCAGCUAGGUUCUAUCAAAAAUCAGUUACUAUUGUGUGAGAAAAAACAAUCCAUCCUUGUCUGAUUCAGGGACCAGGGGUUUUCUUAGAGCGAGAAACAGAGCACAGUGCAGACAGGAUGCCAGUCCGUCUCUGCACUAACACUUACACCGAUUAGGAGUAAUGCUCUGACUGCUGACAGGUGAACUGAAUGACACUGAUUAUCUCCUCAUCAUGGCACCUGUUAGUGGGUGGACCUUAUCAAGAAGCAGGUGAACAUUUUGUCCUCAAAGUCGAUGUUAGAAGCAGGAAAAACGGUGAGUUUUGAGUCUGACAAAAGGCCAAACUGUGAUGUUAGAUGACUGCGUCACGACCACAGCUCUUGCGGGGUGCUCCUGGUUUAUAGGGAUCGAUCAAAAGUGGUCCACGGUAGGAACAGUGGUAAUCCAGUGAUGGGUCAUGGACGACCAAGGUUCAUGGAUGCACAUGAGGAGUGAAGGCUCGUCUAGUGGUGGUGUUUCCUCGGAGUAUGUCCUACUCAUCUCAUCCUCUUCUUCCGCAGAUGGUCUUCAAAUUAUUUCCAGCUUUCAUGUUAUUUUUGGUAAUUUCCCAUUAAAAUCAGAAACUGUUACAUAGACACAGACUGUGUCCAAAGAUGAAGAGUCUGCAGAGACGCAUGCACAGAGUUGUGCAAAGACGCAAUUCAAAAGCAGAUCAAUAAAAAUAAAUUACUUCAAGCCGACUUUCUGCUAAGCUUUGUCAGCAGCCUGAGUGAACAGAUGUGAUUUCAAAGGACAGACAGCUAUUGAAUUCAUCCCAUAUUCUUUAGAUAAUAGCACAGUGCUUAUAAUGAGAUCUGAAUGGAGCCCAUGCACUUGAAACAGACAGAAAGGAGGACUCAGAUGUGCCACAGUAAACUGUUGUAUUUAAUACAUGAAAGUAAUAUUAUUUACAACUAUUAUUCUAUCAUUGUUUAAAUCAGCUAUAGCCUUCACUACAUUAAUUAUAUUAAGCAGUAAAAAAUGCCAAUAAUGCUCAAAGGAAACGAAAAGGUUAAAGGUAAAAAAAAAAAGAAAAAGAAAAUCAUUAAAAAAUCCAGAAAUUGGAAGAAGAAAAUCAAAAAGCACCGGCAGGUGAGAAUGUCAUGUUUUUUACUGUUUAACAGAUGCUGUUAGAUACUUCUGCCUCGUCAGAGGAGGAAGACAUGAAGAUACUGUAAAAAUAAAAUGAUAAAGAGUGAAACAAAAUAGAGGUAACUACAUAUUUUGAGGAUGUCCUGUCAGGUUAAAGAAAAAGCAGACCUACUUCAGAUUAGGCAAACAUGCCUACUUGGCUCUCCUGAGUCAAACCAUGAUCUCAAGUCAUGCCAGCAGCAACAAGUGGCACUCUAACACUGACUGUUUAACACUCCUGCACUGCCAGUACUAUAAUGUGUUUAUAAUAAAGGUCCUCCGUUACAAAGUCAGGGUUUAUAAGAACGUAAUAAAGGCUGUUUAACCAUAACAAAUAUGACAAAGUUACUCUUAGCUCAGUAAAGACAAGAAUACAAAA
Long non-coding RNA from Oreochromis niloticus (Nile tilapia), 1898 nucleotides. RefSeq lists it as uncharacterized. NCBI's taxonomy places the organism in Eukaryota, Metazoa, Chordata, Actinopteri, Cichliformes, Cichlidae. The transcript has 3 exons. The record is from RefSeq and is a predicted model, not a curated record.